RNAcentral lists this ribosomal RNA (253 nucleotides) under uncultured bacterium. Its description in RNAcentral is "partial 16S ribosomal RNA". It matches the Rfam family "Bacterial small subunit ribosomal RNA", at positions 524 to 776 of the family's 1533-position model. The record is from RNAcentral.
UACGUAGGGUGCAAGCGUUGUUCGGAAUUACUGGGCGUAAAGGGCGCGCAGGCGGCCCUCCAAGUCAGGCGUGAAAGCCCCGGGCUCAACCCGGGAACAGCGCUUGAGACUGGGGGGCUUGAGUUCGGGAGAGGAGAGUGGAAUUCCCAGUGUAGAGGUGAAAUUCGUAGAUAUUGGGAAGAACACCGGUGGCGAAGGCGGCUCUCUGGACCGACACUGACGCUGAGGCGCGAAAGCGUGGGGAGCAAACAGG